AUUGAACGCUGGCGGCAUGCCUUACACAUGCAAGUCGAACGGUAACAGGUCUUCGGAUGCUGACGAGUGGCGAACGGGUGAGUAAUACAUCGGAACGUGCCUAGUAGUGGGGGAUAACUACUCGAAAGAGUGGCUAAUACCGCAUGAGAUCUACGGAUGAAAGCAGGGGAUCGCAAGACCUUGUGCUACUAGAGCGGCCGAUGGCAGAUUAGGUAGUUGGUGGGAUAAAAGCUUACCAAGCCGACGAUCUGUAGCUGGUCUGAGGGGACGAUCAGCCCCACUGGGGCUGAGACACGGCCCAGACUCCUACGGGAGGCAGCAGUGGGGAAUUUUGGACAAUGGGCGCAAGCCUGAUCCAGCAAUGCCGCGUGCAGGAUGAAGGCCUUCGGGUUGUAAACUGCUUUUGUACGGAACGAAAAGCCCCGGGUUAAUACCCUGGGGUCAUGACGGUACCGUAAGAAUAAGCACCGGCUAACUACGUGCCAGCCGCCGCGGUAA
RNAcentral lists this ribosomal RNA (498 nucleotides) under uncultured bacterium. Its description in RNAcentral is "partial 16S ribosomal RNA". It matches the Rfam family "Bacterial small subunit ribosomal RNA", at positions 30 to 523 of the family's 1533-position model. The record is from RNAcentral.